UACGGGGGGGGCAAGCGUUGUUCGGAAUUACUGGGCGUAAAGCGCGCGUAGGCGGCUUUUCAAGUCAGACGUGAAAGCCCCAGGCUUAACCUGGGAAUUGCGUUUGAUACUGUUAGGCUAGAGUGCGGAAGGGGCUACUGGAAUUCCGUGUGUAGCGGUGAAAUGCGUAGAUAUUCGGAAGAACACCAGUGGCGAAGGCGGCUCACUGGCCCGGUACUGACGCUGAGGUGCGAAAGCGUGGGGAGCAAACAGG
This 253-nucleotide ribosomal RNA is filed under the name uncultured bacterium. RNAcentral's name for it is "partial 16S ribosomal RNA". It matches the Rfam family "Bacterial small subunit ribosomal RNA", at positions 524 to 776 of the family's 1533-position model. The record is from RNAcentral.